AUAUUUCUUCAGAGCGAGGUGCAAUUCCUCACCGGUGGUGAUAGUCCACGAGUCGAAAGAUUGAAUCGGUGAAAUUCCGAUACCGACGGUAUAGUCCGGAUGGGAGAAGAAUAUU
Molecule: non-coding RNA, 115 nt
Filed under: Peptoniphilus asaccharolyticus
Lineage: Bacteria; Bacillati; Bacillota; Tissierellia; Tissierellales; Peptoniphilaceae
Description: FMN sequence
Rfam family: FMN riboswitch aptamer (RFN element)
About the family: The RFN element is a highly conserved domain that is found frequently in the 5'-untranslated regions of prokaryotic mRNAs that encode for flavin mononucleotide (FMN) biosynthesis and transport proteins. This element is a metabolite-dependent riboswitch that directly binds FMN in the absence of proteins. In Bacillus subtilis, the riboswitch most likely controls gene expression by causing premature transcription termination within the 5' untranslated region of the ribDEAHT operon and precluding access to the ribosome-binding site of ypaA mRNA.
Source: RNAcentral